CCAGCACCCGCGGUAAUUCCAGCUCCAAUAGCGUAUAUUAAAGUUGUUGCAGUUAAAACGCUCGUAGUCUGAGAUUUGGGUGAGGGGAGUGGGUGGCAGCGAUGCCAUUUGCACCCUUGUCCAUUUUGUGGUAGAGAUGCCACGGUUACUUUGAGGAAAUUAGGGUGUUUAAAGCGGGCGAUUGCUUGAAUACUGCAGCAUGGAAUAACGGAAUAGGGCUUGCCGUCUUAUUUUGUUGGUUUGGAGGGGCGAGUAAUGAUUAAUAGGGGCAGUUGGGGGCAUUGGUAUUUGGUAGCUAGAGGUGAAAUUCUUGGAUUUACCAAAGACUAACUAGUGCGAAAGCAUUUGCC
Molecule: ribosomal RNA, 350 nt
Filed under: uncultured eukaryote
Lineage: Eukaryota
Description: SSU rRNA
Rfam family: Eukaryotic small subunit ribosomal RNA
Source: RNAcentral